CCCGCCCCGCGCCGCCUCUCUGGUUUGUGCGCCCGUCGCAGGUCGCAGGCCUCUUUGUCAGCUGGAGUUGCGCGGGCUGACGCGCCACUAUGUAGCGGGUUUCGGGCGGGCCACGCGUGCGGGACAGGAACCCAACCCCAGCCGACCUUGAGCUCCAGGAGUUCGUCUCUUACGUCUGCGGAAGUGCAGCUGCCUCAGUUCUUAGCGCAGCUCUACAAGUUUCACGCUGUUUAAGUCAUGAACCUACAAAAGCCUGUGAAAAAAUCUUUGAAGAUGCUCAGCUUGUUUCAGUCUGAAAUUUCUCCAAGACCAAUGAACAAAACAGGAUCAUGCCCUGAAUACACACCCAAGCUGCAGGCUCCUGCUUAGCCCUAUUUUGGUUUGGCCUCCAUGAGAUCUUCAGCCACAAUAGCAGGAGAUAAAAAUCUUCCUAGAAGCUUUCAUCAGCUGCAAGUUUUCUUACAGAAUGAAACUUUUCUGCUAUUUUUCUCAUAGUUAAUUGGCUAUUUGAGAAAACCGAAUUUCUGGCUCUCAGCAUUUAAUUGGAUUCUGUGGGUGACUGGAUGACCGCUUUGCACAUCACCAUGGGGUCUUCCUCUGUCACCCAGGCUGGAUGGAGUAUAGUGGAACAAUCAUAGUUCACUGCGGCCUUGGUACCCUAGGCUCAAGCGAUCCUCCCACCUCAGCCUCCUGAGUAGGUGGGACCACAGGUGUGUACCACCAGACCUGGCUAAUUUUGUUAUUGUUGUUUUUUAUAGAGGUGGGGGGGUCUCCCUAUGUUGCCCAGGCCUGUCUUGAACUCACGGGCUCAAGUGAUCCUCCUGCCUCAGCCUCCCAAAGUUCUGGGAUUACAGGGGUGAGCCACUGGACCCAGCCAGAAACUACUUUUAACAGUUCUAAUUGCCACUUGUCUUGGCUGUAUAUUCAGAAAUAG
RNAcentral lists this long non-coding RNA (934 nucleotides) under Homo sapiens (human). RNAcentral describes it as "differentiation antagonizing non-protein coding RNA". Lineage: Eukaryota; Metazoa; Chordata; Mammalia; Primates; Hominidae. The record is from RNAcentral.